Molecule: ribosomal RNA, 497 nt
Filed under: uncultured bacterium
Lineage: Bacteria
Description: partial 16S ribosomal RNA
Rfam family: Bacterial small subunit ribosomal RNA
Source: RNAcentral
GAUGGACGCUGGCGGCGUGCCUAAUACAUGCAAGUCGAGCGAACAGACGAGGAGCUUGCUCCUCUGACGUUAGCGGCGGACGGGUGAGUAACACGUGGAUAACCUACCUAUAAGACUGGGAUAACUUCGGGAAACCGGAGCUAAUACCGGAUAAUAUAUUGAACCGCAUGGUUCAAUAGUGAAAGACGGUUUUGCCGUCACUUAUAGAUGGAUCCGCGCCGCAUUAGCUAGUUGGUAAGGUAACGGCUUACCAAGGCAACGAUGCGUAGCCGACCUGAGAGGGUGAUCGGCCACACUGGAACUGAGACACGGUCCAGACUCCUACGGGAGGCAGCAGUAGGGAAUCUUCCGCAAUGGGCGAAAGCCUGACGGAGCAACGCCGCGUGAGUGAUGAAGGUCUUCGGAUCGUAAAACUCUGUUAUUAGGGAAGAACAAAUGUGUAAGUAACUAUGCACGUCUUGACGGUACCUAAUCAGAAAGCCACGGCUAACUACGUG